This 341-nucleotide ribosomal RNA is filed under the name uncultured prokaryote. RNAcentral's name for it is "bacterial SSU rRNA". It matches the Rfam family "Bacterial small subunit ribosomal RNA", at positions 8 to 352 of the family's 1533-position model. The record is from RNAcentral.
AGAGUUUGAUCCUGGCUCAGAUUGAACGCUGGCGGCAUGCCUAACACAUGCAAGUCGAGCGGCAGCGCGGGGGCAACCCUGGCGGCGAGCGGCGGACGGGUGAGUAAGGCAUCGGAAUCUGCCCUGAUGUGGGGGAUAACGUAGGGAAAGUUGUGCUAAUACCGCAUAAGCUCUGAGGAGGAAAGCGGGGGACCGAAAGGCCUCGCGCUGAAGGAGCGGCCGAUGUCCGAUUAGCUAGUUGGUUAGGUAAAGGCCUACCAAGGCGACGAUCAUUAGCUGGUCUGAGAGGAUGAUCAGCCAGACUGGGACUGAGAACGGCCCAGACUCCUACGGGAGGCGAC